Non-coding RNA from Pelobates cultripes (western spadefoot toad), 706 nucleotides. NCBI's taxonomy places the organism in Eukaryota, Metazoa, Chordata, Amphibia, Anura, Pelobatidae. The record is from the annotation of a GenBank genome assembly.
CCUUCAUCAUGUUCCACGACACCUGGGACAAUAGGUCCUCGACCAGUCCUGUACAGGACAUACCCACAUUCCUUCAAACACUAAACCUGGCACAGGUUGUAAGACCAGGCAGUUCUUUUUAUUUGUUCACCUUUCUGAUCUACCAUGAUUCUACUAAGUUACCCCCCACAGGGCCCAAGGGUUGGAGACCUAGGGGACUGCUGGAUUUCUCUCUUCUUUUAACAAUGUUUCAACAAACGCAAUCCACCAACACCCACCACAAUGCCUGCUAGUCUAACCUAAACUAGGAUUAAUCUUCCUACAAGAAAUGCACUACUCUGACACACGCCCAUUCCCUCUCCUUAGCCGGCACUUCAAGGCAUACCACCUAGCUAACUCCAACAUGGGUAAGCAGAAUGGGGUAGCGAUACUGUUAUGGAAAACGUUCCCCCUCCAGGUUAACAACCCACACAAAGACCCUCAAGGGCGAUACCUUACGAUAGCAGGGACUUUUGGCCCGACCAAAUUCAGAUUCACAUCCCUCUACGCACCCACACAUCCAGAUCCACAAUGCUGGCUCACCCUACAAGCGCACCUUAGCCUAUACCCAACACACCACAGAAUCAUAGGGGGGAACUUUAACACAAACUCUUCCCAGAGACAUCGCCCUCAGCUGCCACCUCAACCCUCCAGAUCAGAUAAACUCAUGGCUGACUUCUUAUUUCAG